UGUUCAAGUGAUGAGGAAAUACUGCAACAAUAUGAUCAAGGAUGAUUCUUAUCGUAUUUAAGUCUCUGAUGACC
Nymphaea colorata (pocket water lily) is the source of this 74-nucleotide small nucleolar RNA. RefSeq annotates it as small nucleolar RNA Z199. The record is from RefSeq and is a predicted model, not a curated record. The transcript has a single exon. Lineage: Eukaryota; Viridiplantae; Streptophyta; Magnoliopsida; Nymphaeales; Nymphaeaceae.